ACAAAGCUUCUUGGCUAUAUAUUAAAAUUGGUCAAUAGGAAGAAUGGGAGAUCAGUGGGCUGGGCACAGUGGCUCACGCCUGUAAUCCCAGCACUUUAGGAGGCCAAGGCAGGCAGAUUGCUUGAGAUCAGGAGUUUGAGACCAGCCUGGCCAACAUGGUGAAACCCCAUUUCUACAAAAAAAAUGCAAAAAUUAGUCAGGCGUGGUGGCGGACAUCUGCAGUCCCUGCUAUUUGGGAGGCUGAGGCAUAAGAAUAGCUUGAACCCAGGAAGCAGAGGUUGUAGUGAGCUGAGAUUGCACCGCUGCACACCAGCCUGGGUGACAGAGUGACGCUCUGUCAAAAAAAAAAAAAAAAAAAGAGAGAGAGAGAGACAGAGAAAGAGAAAAAAGAGAAAGAAAAAGAGAAGAAAAAGGAGAUCUGGAAAUUUCUUCCGGUAUACUGUAUAGAAACUAAGGUGUCAUCACUUUGCCAUUACAGAUCAUCACUGACUUCAUAAUGGUGUUAUUGUUUUACCACUGAGGAAACUGAGGCUUACAUUCUCUCAGUAUUCUAAGCCUUACUUUACUCAGUUUUACGAUAGAGUAGCAAACUAAUAACCUCUAAAAUCCUUUCUAGUUUUGAUUUCUUUGGAUUAGCUUCUCAAGGAUACUUUCCAAUCACUUCAAGCAGCAGUGCUGUGUCUCAGGCUGAUAUUCACUCUUCUUUAUGAUCACCAAGCACCUCACCAAAGGCAGAGGAAAUGCUGACUUUACAUUGACACAGACUUCAGAGAAACUUGACUGUUUAGUCAACAGGUUUGCCAUAAUGUGCACAGACCAAUAUUAGCAGCAAAAUAAGAAAAAAAGGAAAUGUUAAAUAAUUUAUUAUUUUAUAUUUUUGACUGCUAUUCUAUGUCAUCUUCCUGGUAAACUAAAUAUUUCUUAUUUUAUUAUUCUUUUCAUGAUGGAAAAGGUACCCAUCUUGGCUUGUGUUAAAAAAAAAUGGUUCACAUGAUUUUGAAGUUUGAAGGUAAAUCUAGCAUCAGGCAUGAUUUUGUCUAGAGGUCAAAAAGAUAAUGUCCGAGUUUCUUCUCUUCAUUUCUUUAGCCUCAGUCUUUUUUAGUGUGUUUGACUCAUUCUUUAUAACUGCAUAUGAUAUCCUACAAGUGGCUGACUGCGGCCACAGAGGUGUUGGUGCUAUUUCUGGGCCAAGGUGUGUAUUGGAUGUGGUCCCACCACACUCCUUGCUCUCUUGCCCCUCCCUCUGCCUGGGUGAAGCUAAUAGAGAAGCCCUGAGGGAUGGUGAUACCACAAGCCGUCAAGAAACUCAGUUACUCAGUCAUCAAUGGAGGAAAACUUCAGGCUGACUAGCAACGCCUGCUUGAACGAUUAAGACAGCAGGAGGCCGGGUGUGGUGGCUCAUGCCUAUAAUCCCAGCAUGUUGGGAGGCCGAGGUGAGUGGAUCACCUGACAUCAGGAGUUCAAGACCAGCCUGACCAACAAGAUGACAAUUGAAUUGAAUUCACUAAAGCUGGUUUGAACAAAGACAUCCUUAACCCUGGCUGCACACUAGAAUAAUUUGAGGAGCUUUAGAAGCCACAGAUACCUGGAGUCCCACGCCAGAGUUGACGUAAGUGGAUGAAGUCACAGUCUAGACAUUGAAUUUUUAAAAUAUUCCUAAGUGAUCUGAAUGUGCAACCAGUGUUCAGAAACAUUGGUUUAGGCCAGCGGUUCUCAAAAUGUGAUUCUGCCAUCAGCAUCUUGAGCAUUACCUGGAAACUGAUUAGAAAUGCAAAGUCUCUGACUCCAGAACUGCUGAAUCAAAUAUCCAAAUAUGGUUGCUCAUCACAGUUAUCUGGGGAGAAUUUUGAAAAUAGGUACUCCUCAUCUUCACCAUCAGUUCCAGUUUCUGAUACAGAAAAUGUGGGCAAGGUCAGGAAAUGCCAUUCUUCUCCUCCACCUGCUUCUUCUUCCUCAAGAAUUCUAAAGAUUUGACAGUUAUGGGAGCCAUGUUGAAAAUAUAUAUUUUGAAAAGAGUUGUAAUUGAGGAAAUCUGAAUUUCAGUCCCGCCACUGUAGGUAACUGACCAAGAGACCUUGGACCAGGCACUUCUCCUGCCUCCCUUGAAUCAAAGCUUCUAUAUCAACCACUGCUGACUCCCACACUUCCAGGGAAGUUCCAAUGAACUUGAAUGAUGUUUGAAGCUUCAGAGCUCUAUGUAAAUGUGAAGUAUUGCUAUCAAGACAUCUUAGAAUGAAAGAUAAUAUUUUCUUCUUUACUUUUACUCCUUAGAAGACUAUUACCUACUAGUAUGUCCCUUUUAUUUCUUAUUUAAUAAAAAACCUACAGAAAGAUAAAUUGGACUCAGCUAUCUUCAUUUCCAUAAUUACUUACAGCUAAGCUUGGUCCUAGGAAGCUCAUAUUGUAACAAUGCCUCUCAGUCUUUU
RNAcentral lists this long non-coding RNA (2426 nucleotides) under Homo sapiens (human). RNAcentral describes it as "HSALNT0393865". Lineage: Eukaryota; Metazoa; Chordata; Mammalia; Primates; Hominidae. The record is from RNAcentral.